This 106-nucleotide small nucleolar RNA is filed under the name Olea europaea subsp. europaea. Its description in RNAcentral is "Plant small nucleolar RNA R71". It matches the Rfam family "Plant small nucleolar RNA R71". From Rfam's summary of the family: R71 is a member of the C/D box family of snoRNAs containing the C (UGAUGA) and D (CUGA) box motifs. Multiple nearly identical copies of this snoRNA have been identified in Arabidopsis, and it is thought to function as a 2'-O-ribose methylation guide for 18S ribosomal RNA. Lineage: Eukaryota; Viridiplantae; Streptophyta; Magnoliopsida; Lamiales; Oleaceae. The record is from Rfam by way of RNAcentral.
AUGUCUAGAUUGGGACACUUUCUAUAUAAACUCUUGUAUCGUUCCCAUGCUUCUGAGUAGCUCCCUAGCUCCUUUGGUUUAAAUAUAUGUAUUUCAUUCUGAGUUU